UACGUAGGGCGCAAGCGUUGUCCGGAAUCAUUGGGCGUAAAGCGCGCGUAGGCGGCCCCGUAAGUCCGCUGUGAAAGUCAAAGGCUCAACCUUUGAAAGCCGGUGGAUACUGUGGGGCUAGAGUCCGGAAGAGGCGAGUGGAAUUCCUGGUGUAGCGGUGGAAUGCGCAGAUAUCAGGAGGAACACCGAUAGCGAAGGCAGCUCGCUGGGACGGUACUGACGCUAAGGCGCGAAAGCGUGGGGAGCGAACAGG
RNAcentral lists this ribosomal RNA (253 nucleotides) under uncultured bacterium. Its description in RNAcentral is "partial 16S ribosomal RNA". It matches the Rfam family "Bacterial small subunit ribosomal RNA", at positions 524 to 776 of the family's 1533-position model. The record is from RNAcentral.